Molecule: unclassified non-coding RNA, 378 nt
Filed under: plant metagenome
Description: partial contains 5.8S ribosomal RNA, internal transcribed spacer 2, and large subunit ribosomal RNA
Rfam family: 5.8S ribosomal RNA (bases 1-105)
Source: RNAcentral
GAAAUGCGAUAAGUAAUGUGAAUUGCAGAAUUCAGUGAAUCAUCGAAUCUUUGAACGGACCUUGCGCUCCUUGGUAUUCCUUGGAGCAUGCCUGUUUGAGUAUCAUGAAAUCUUCAAAGUAAAUCUUUUGUUAACUCAAUUGGUUUCUACUUUGGUAUUGGAGGUCUUUGCAGCUUCACACCUGCUCCUCUUUGUUCAUUAGCUGGAUCUCAGUGUUAUGCUUGGUUCCACUCGGCGUGAUAAGUUAUCUAUCGCUGAGGACACUGUAAAAGGUGGCCAAGGUAAAUGCAGAUGAACCGCUUCUAAUAGUCCAUUGACUUGGACAAUACUUUUAUGAUCUGAUCUCAAAUCAGGUAGGACUACCCGCUGAGCUUAAGC